Molecule: long non-coding RNA, 596 nt
Filed under: Mustela putorius furo (domestic ferret)
Lineage: Eukaryota; Metazoa; Chordata; Mammalia; Carnivora; Mustelidae
Description: lncRNA (ENSMPUG00000030316.1)
Source: RNAcentral
GCUGCAGCCUGCCUGCAUCUCUAUCUGCCAAGUGCCUCAGCCAGGAGCCCUGGACCAUCAGACCAUUGUCACCACGUCUCCGUUCUCCCACCUGCAGGGGAGAACACACCUGAUCCCUUGGCCUCUGUCUGAUGACCUCAGGCUCCUUUUGGACUCACAUGUGCAUUUGGGAAGGAGUCUUGUGAGCAACUGGUCCAGCCUCGGUCCCUCCGACACAGCAUCUUGUCCCUGUCCCAGGUUCCCACCUGCUCUACACAUUGCUCCGGGGGUAUGGAGGAAAAGGCGGUGGCUGGGAUGGUUCCAGAAGAAGGUCACCCAUGGAGUCUCACUUUUCCUCUGGGGAUCGGGGCAAGGAGGCUUUUGUUGGUGUUUGGUUGCCUCAGGUUAUAUGUGGGGAAAUCAGUGCAUUAUUCACAUGGGGACCUGAAUUUGUUCUUUCCUCCAGGCUUGGGUUGAGGUGACCUGUAUGGGCAGCUCCCCUCUCUUCCCUGUCUCUCUUAGACCUCAUGCUUCUCUACUCACUAGAACACGGCUGCAGCAGAUGCUUCUCUACUCACUAGAACACGGCUGCAGCAGAUGCUUCUCUANNNNNNNNN